CGUAGGUCCCGAGCGUUGUCCGGAUUAUUGGGCGUAAAGCGAGCGCAGGUGGUUAUUAAGUCUGGUGUAAAAGGCAGUCGGCUCAACCAUUGUAUGCAUUGGAAACUGGUAGACUUGAGUGCAGGAGAGGAGAGUGGAAUUCCAUGUAGUAGCGGUGAAAUGCGUAGAUAUAUGGAGGAACACCGGUGGCGAAAGCGGCUCUCUGGCCUGUAACUGACACUGAGGCUCGAAAGCGUGGGGAGCAAACAGGAUU
RNAcentral lists this ribosomal RNA (253 nucleotides) under uncultured bacterium. RNAcentral describes it as "partial 16S ribosomal RNA". It matches the Rfam family "Bacterial small subunit ribosomal RNA", at positions 526 to 779 of the family's 1533-position model. The record is from RNAcentral.